CCAGACAAAAAUGUAGACGAGCU
Molecule: non-coding RNA, 23 nt
Filed under: Cricetulus griseus (Chinese hamster)
Lineage: Eukaryota; Metazoa; Chordata; Mammalia; Rodentia; Cricetidae
Source: RNAcentral